This 616-nucleotide long non-coding RNA is filed under the name Oryza brachyantha (malo sina). Its description in RNAcentral is "long non-coding RNA (OBRA_LNC002720)". Lineage: Eukaryota; Viridiplantae; Streptophyta; Magnoliopsida; Poales; Poaceae. The record is from RNAcentral.
GAAUAAUAUGUAGGAGUAGUAUUUGGUUGGUUUCAUGUCGUUGUCUGAAUAUUAUUUUUACUGCUCAUUUUAUUUGCUGCUCUAAGAUUAGAUUAACUCUAGUACCGUUUCUAAUUGGUGGUUGCCCUGAAAGCACGUUACAGAUUAUUUCCAGUUUUUUGGGAAAAAGACGGAUCUUGAUUUGCCCAAAACCAGGCCAAUUAGUGCCAACAACAAGGUCAAUUCAGAAGGCUCAAGUCGCGUUCAAGCUUCAACCUUUAAUCCAAGUCGAGUUUUCUCCCAAUAAAUUAAAGUCGACGAACAGUUCUUGGCCCUGUUUACUCCCGACAAUUACAGCUUUUGGCCUUUGGAAAUCUGAACGAUCAGCAUCGCCUGAUCUCUUUCAUAAUGUACAAUCUCAGGUAAAUUUCUUUCUUUAAUUCACAUAUCCAAACACACAGCAGCUUCUUCAUGCCAUCGAUCGAUCGGAUUAACGCAAAGAAGAAGAAGAAAAAAAGAAACGUACAUGGUUCAGUGAGAGCUGGUCGACGGUCAGUCUGUGCCGGCGGCGAGGGCGCUGCGGCGGUGGCCGGAGGAGCGGAGGACGGCGUCCAUGAGGGCGAGCCGCUCGGAGANN